GGUGAACGCUGGCGGCGUGCCUAAUACAUGCAAGUCGAGCGGACAGACGAGGAGCUUGCUCCUCUGACGUUAGCGGCGGACGGGUGAGUAACACGUGGAUAACCUACCUAUAAGACUGGGAUAACUUCGGGAAACCGGAGCUAAUACCGGAUAAUAUAUUGAACCGCAUGGUCCAAUAGUGAAAGACGGUUUUGCUGUCACUUAUAGAUGGAUCCGCGCCGCAUUAGCUAGUUGGUAAGGUAACGGCUUACCAAGGCAACGAUGCGUAGCCGACCUGAGAGGGUGAUCGGCCACACUGGAACUGAGACACGGUCCAGACUCCUACGGGAGGCAGCAGUAGGGAAUCUUCCGCAAUGGGCGAAAGCCUGACGGAGCAACGCCGCGUGAGUGAUGAAGGUCUUCGGAUCGUAAAACUCUGUUAUUAGGGAAGAACAAAUGUGUAAGUAACUAUGCACGUCUUGACGGUACCUAAUCAGAAAGCCACGGCUAACUACGUGCCAGCAGCCGCAGUAA
RNAcentral lists this ribosomal RNA (513 nucleotides) under uncultured bacterium. Its description in RNAcentral is "partial 16S ribosomal RNA". It matches the Rfam family "Bacterial small subunit ribosomal RNA", at positions 28 to 523 of the family's 1533-position model. The record is from RNAcentral.